This 243-nucleotide ribosomal RNA is filed under the name uncultured bacterium. Its description in RNAcentral is "partial 16S ribosomal RNA". It matches the Rfam family "Bacterial small subunit ribosomal RNA", at positions 774 to 1015 of the family's 1533-position model. The record is from RNAcentral.
AGGAUUAGAUACCCUUGUAGUCCACGCCGUAAACGAUGGAUGCUAGUUGUCAGGCAGCAUGCUGUUUGGUGACGCAGCUAACGCAUUAAGCAUCCCGCCUGGGGAGUACGGCCGCAAGGUUAAAACUCAAAGAAAUUGACGGGGGCCCGCACAAGCGGUGGAGCAUGUGGUUUAAUUCGAAGCAACGCGCAGAACCUUACCUACCCUUGACAUACCAAUCGCGGAUUACAGAGAUGUUUUCCU